UACGUAGGUGGCAAGCGUUGUCCGGAUUUACUGGGCGUAAAGAGCGCGCAGGCGGUCAGAUAAGUCGAAUGUGAAAGCCCCCGGCUCAACUGGGGAGGGUCACGCGAUACUGCUCGACUCGAAGGCAGGAGAGGGAAGUGGAAUUCCCGGUGUAGUGGUGAAAUGCGUAGAUAUCGGGAGGAACACCAGUGGCGAAGGCGACUUCCUGGCCUGUUCUUGACGCUGAGGCGCGAAAGCUAGGGUAGCAAACGGG
Molecule: ribosomal RNA, 253 nt
Filed under: uncultured bacterium
Lineage: Bacteria
Description: partial 16S ribosomal RNA
Rfam family: Bacterial small subunit ribosomal RNA
Source: RNAcentral